AGUGAACGCUGGCGGUAGGCCUAACACAUGCAAGUCGAACGGCAGCACAGUAAGAGCUUGCUCUUACGGGUGGCGAGUGGCGGACGGGUGAGGAAUACAUCGGAAUCUACUUUUUCGUGGGGGGUAACGUAGGGAAACUUACGCUAAUACCGCAUACGACCUACGGGUGAAAGCAGGGGAUCUUCGGACCUUGCGCGAUUGAAUGAGCCGAUGUCGGAUUAGCUAGUUGGCGGGGUAAAGGCCCACCAAGGCGACGAUCCGUAGCUGGUCUGAGAGGAUGAUCAGCCACACUGGAACUGAGACACGGUCCAGACUCCUACGGGAGGCAGCAGUGGGGAAUAUUGGACAAUGGGCGCAAGCCUGAUCCAGCCAUACCGCGGGGGUGAGGAAGGCCUUCGGGUUGUAAAGCCCUUUUGUUGGGAAAGAAAAGCAGCAGGUUAAUACCCCGCUGUUCUGACGGUACCCAAAGAAUAAGCACCGGCUAACUUCGU
This 491-nucleotide ribosomal RNA is filed under the name uncultured bacterium. RNAcentral describes it as "partial 16S ribosomal RNA". It matches the Rfam family "Bacterial small subunit ribosomal RNA", at positions 29 to 506 of the family's 1533-position model. The record is from RNAcentral.